UCCCAAGUGGCUCAGUUGGUAAAGAAUCUGCCUGCAAUUCAGGAGACCCAGGUUCGAUCCCUGGGUUGAGAA
RNAcentral lists this transfer RNA (72 nucleotides) under Ovis aries (sheep). It matches the Rfam family "tRNA". Rfam says of the family: Transfer RNA (tRNA) molecules are approximately 80 nucleotides in length. Their secondary structure includes four short double-helical elements and three loops (D, anti-codon, and T loops). Lineage: Eukaryota; Metazoa; Chordata; Mammalia; Artiodactyla; Bovidae. The record is from Rfam by way of RNAcentral.